RNAcentral lists this ribosomal RNA (253 nucleotides) under uncultured bacterium. RNAcentral's name for it is "partial 16S ribosomal RNA". It matches the Rfam family "Bacterial small subunit ribosomal RNA", at positions 524 to 776 of the family's 1533-position model. The record is from RNAcentral.
CACGUAGGGUGCGAGCGUUGUCCGGAAUUAUUGGGCGUAAAGAGCUCGUAGGCGGUUUGUCGCGUCGAAUGUGAAAACCCGGGGCUCAACCCCGGGCCUGCAUUCGAUACGGUCAGACUAGAGUUCGGUAGGGGAGUCUGGAAUUCCUGGUGUAGCGGUGAAAUGCGCAGAUAUCAGGAGGAACACCGGUGGCGAAGGCGGGACUCUGGGCCGAUACUGACGCUGAGGCGCGAAAGCGUGGGGAGCAAACAGG